CAUUGUUUUGAGGUUGGCAAGUUGGAACAUUUGACAUUUUAUUUGCUUUUUAAUUCGGCAUCGUAAAGAGGACCAAAGAUAACCAUUUGAAGAUUGUAAAGUGUACGCAAGCCGACCUUAGCAACAUAAUAUUUGUCUCGUUCUUUUCAACGGUUAUGGCCUAUUUGAAAAAAUAGGAUAAGUAUAUGAGGGUAAUUUAGAUUCCUUCUAUGCUUGUUUUUGUUCUGAGGGAUUUUUCCCACUUACUGUUUAUUAUAAUUGACAGAAAUAUUUGUGUCAACAAUUGCCUACUUAGCAGUUUCCAUAUAUAUUAUAAUUCUCUUUUCUUAGCAGACUUGUAAUAAAUAUGGUAUAUUAUAAUUCUCUUUGAAAUAUGGACAUUGAAAUAGGCAAGAAGUAGAUUUGUUGAUAAUCGACGUAACAUAUACCUAUUUACUGCCAUAAUAUUAUUUAACCUGUCUCAGAUCACCGAGAUUAAUGCUCCGUGCUCGUACUGUGGAGAAAAAGCCGAAUUAACUUUAGUGGACCCGAGGAUCGAACCCGAGAUUUCAAAAGCUUCUGGUAGAACUAUGGGACAGAGUGUAUUAAAUUACUACAGCCCGUUGUCGAAAAGAUGUUGUUUUUGCAUAUCGCUCAAGAUGGGCACUAUUAUUAUAUCAAUCAUAGGAUGCGUGCCUAGUAUUAUGUUGAUACUGUUACUUCACUAUGGAAUUUUAGUACUGGAGUGGCUUGGAAUUCCGCAUAUUGUGGCCGAGAUUGUAGUUCACGUUUACGCUGUAUUAGGAAUAUUACUAUGCUUAGCACACGUUAUACUCCUUGUGGCUGCUAUUACUUACAAUGAGGUGCUAAUUUUGGUAUACUUAUGGUGCGGCGUGUUAUAUUUACUUAUUGAUUUCACGAUUGCAUUGUUUGUUAGCGCAUUAGCUGCAACAAAAGGAAUGAUAAUCGCCGGAAUAGUAUUGGUGUUAUAUGAUAUUUUGUAUUGGUUGAUGUUAUAUUUAUGUGUAUUUCCCGUUGUAAAUGGAUUAAGAUUGAAUAUCCAUACAAUAGUUAUAAUAUUGGCCUAAAAUA
This is a long non-coding RNA of Manduca sexta (tobacco hornworm), 1071 nucleotides long. RefSeq lists it as uncharacterized. Lineage: Eukaryota; Metazoa; Arthropoda; Insecta; Lepidoptera; Sphingidae. The transcript is spliced from 3 exons. The record is from RefSeq and is a predicted model, not a curated record.